Molecule: transfer RNA, 73 nt
Filed under: Apilactobacillus kunkeei
Lineage: Bacteria; Bacillati; Bacillota; Bacilli; Lactobacillales; Lactobacillaceae
Description: tRNA-Trp
Rfam family: tRNA
About the family: Transfer RNA (tRNA) molecules are approximately 80 nucleotides in length. Their secondary structure includes four short double-helical elements and three loops (D, anti-codon, and T loops).
Source: RNAcentral
UAGGGAUAUAGUAUAAUGGUAGUACAACGGUCUCCAAAACCGUUGGUGCGGGUUCAACUCCUGCUAUCCCUGU